GGAGGAAAAGUAACUAGGAUUCCCCCAGUAACUGCGAGUGAAGAGGGAAGAGCUCAUCAUUGGAAUCUGGCAGUGUUGCACUGUCCGAGUUGUAGAUGAGGAGUAGUCCAUCUGGACUGCAUGGCGUCCAAGUACAAUAGGCCGUCAGUGGGACAUCAUAGAGGGUGACAAUCCCGUCCUUGAUGCCAAUGUGCAAGUCCGUUACGAUGGCUAUCUCAGAGAGUCGAGCAGUUUGGGAUUUGCUGCUUAAACAUGGGAGGUAGAUUCCUUCUAAAGCUAAAUACAGGCGAGAGACCGAUAGAGAACAAGUACCGCAAGGGAAAGAUGAAAUAGCACUCUGUGAAGGGAGUCAAAAGGCGUGAAAUUGUUGCGAGAGAAGCGAUUCAAGUCAGCGUAGCUAGGCCCAUCAAGCGUCUCGCUUUGGACUAGCUUUGCCAGCGGUCUUGUCCUUUAGAGAGAGACUUGACUUGUUAACGAUGUCCAGCCUGGUAUGCACAGGUAGCCCCCCGGGGUCAGUGGCAUGGCUGGUGGAAUGACUUGCAUUCGACCCGUCUUGAAACACGGACC
This 567-nucleotide ribosomal RNA is filed under the name Cantharellus amethysteus. RNAcentral describes it as "eukaryotic LSU rRNA". It matches the Rfam family "Eukaryotic large subunit ribosomal RNA", at positions 52 to 667 of the family's 3401-position model. RNAcentral also lists the same sequence under 1 other name. The record is from RNAcentral. Lineage: Eukaryota; Fungi; Basidiomycota; Agaricomycetes; Cantharellales; Hydnaceae.